CCUACGGGAGGCAGCAGUAGGGAAUAUUGCACAAUGGAGGAAACCCUGAUGCAGCGACGCCGCGUGAGCGAUGAAGUAUUUCGGUAUGUAAAGCUCUAUCAGCAGGGAAGAAAAUGACGGUACCUGACUAAGCAGCCCCGGCUAACUACGUGCCAGCAGCCGCGGUCAUACGUAGGGGGCAAGCGUUAGCCGGAUUUACUGGGUGUAACGGGAGCGUGGACGGUCCUGCAAGCAAGAUGUGAAAGCCCGGGGCUCAACCCCGGGACUGCAUUUGGAACUGUAAGGCUAGAGUGUCGGAGAGGCAGGCGGAAUGCCUAGUGUAGCGGUGAAAUGCGUAGAUAUUAGGAGGAACACCAGUGGCGAAGGCGGCCUGCUGGACGAUGACUGACGUUGAGGCUCGAAAGCGUGGGGAGCAAACAGGAUUAGAUACCCCAGUAGUC
Molecule: ribosomal RNA, 440 nt
Filed under: uncultured bacterium
Lineage: Bacteria
Description: partial 16S ribosomal RNA
Rfam family: Bacterial small subunit ribosomal RNA
Source: RNAcentral